This 99-nucleotide ribosomal RNA is filed under the name Blastodinium sp. 1 CAdS-2011. RNAcentral describes it as "partial 18S ribosomal RNA". It matches the Rfam family "Eukaryotic small subunit ribosomal RNA", at positions 1733 to 1831 of the family's 1831-position model. The record is from RNAcentral. Lineage: Eukaryota; Dinophyceae; Blastodiniales.
CUCUGAGCGUUGCAGCUGGAAGUCUAGUGAAUCCUAUUACUUAGAGGAAGGAGAAGUCGUAACAAGGUUUCCGUAGGUGAACCUGCGGAAGGAUCAUUU